Long non-coding RNA from Pomacea canaliculata, 705 nucleotides. RefSeq lists it as uncharacterized. The record is from RefSeq and is a predicted model, not a curated record. The transcript has 4 exons. Lineage: Eukaryota; Metazoa; Mollusca; Gastropoda; Architaenioglossa; Ampullariidae.
CGGCAGUUUUCUCACCCAGGGUACCAGCUAGUGGAGACUGUCCAGCUUCAGCUACCCUUCUCGUGAAAUCACGUGCAUCUCGAUCUCGCUAAGCCAUGAGGACUCUGCUGCUCGUUGUGAUUCUGGCUGGAGCAAGCUUGUCUGCUCAUGCUCCGGAAGAGCGGGCCCUGCUGGGUGUCAGUGCCAACGCCAACGUCAACGCCAGCGUCACCAACAGUGUGCCGCUCCCACUCAUUGAAACCGUCGUCAGUACAGUCCUACAAACUCUCCAAGCUACCAUUCAAACUGCGCUUGAUACACUCAGAGGUCUUGUGAGUGAGUUGGGCGGCUUGUUGGUUCCAGCGUUGACUGAGGUACUUGACCUCGUUGAGCAGAUCGUUGGUCUCGUUCUAAGUAUUCUGAAGUCAGUGCUCAGCUGCGCCAACCAACUCGUCUCGGGACUGCUCCCAAGAGUAACCAACUUCCUGGGUGGUAUCGUAAACAGCGCCAGUAGCAUGCUCUCAGCCAUACAAGGUGCUUGCUAAUACUUAACCUCAGUGACGAACGCAACUUCCGCUAGCGAGCUGACACAACACAGAAGAGCGUGACGGUAUCCCAUGAUGCACUGAACGUACUCUAACAGCCACAACGAACUACACACUCGUGUUUACGUGUCUGUUCCGGUUCUGUUAGAGCACAAUAAGCAAUAAACAUGGGUCUGUCGUA